RNAcentral lists this ribosomal RNA (253 nucleotides) under uncultured bacterium. RNAcentral describes it as "partial 16S ribosomal RNA". It matches the Rfam family "Bacterial small subunit ribosomal RNA", at positions 524 to 776 of the family's 1533-position model. The record is from RNAcentral.
UACGUAGGGGGCUAGCGUUGUCCGGAUUUAUUGGGCGUAAAGAGCGUGUAGGCGGCCAGGUAGGUCUGCUGUGAAAACUCGAGGCUCAACCUCGAGACGUCGGCGGAAACCAUCUGGCUAGAGUCCGGAAGAGGAGAGUGGAAUUCCUGGUGUAGCGGUGAAAUGUGCAGAUAUCAGGAGGAACACCGGUGGCGAAGGCGGAUCUCUGGGCCAUUACUGACGCUGAGGAGCGAAAGCGUGGGGAGCGAACAGG